CAUCAUCAUUAUUGUGCCAGUCAUAAA
This 27-nucleotide non-coding RNA is filed under the name Rattus norvegicus (Norway rat). Lineage: Eukaryota; Metazoa; Chordata; Mammalia; Rodentia; Muridae. The record is from RNAcentral.